Molecule: transfer RNA, 69 nt
Filed under: Aulacochthebius sp. IBE<ESP> RA1155
Lineage: Eukaryota; Metazoa; Arthropoda; Insecta; Coleoptera; Hydraenidae
Description: tRNA-Met
Rfam family: tRNA
About the family: Transfer RNA (tRNA) molecules are approximately 80 nucleotides in length. Their secondary structure includes four short double-helical elements and three loops (D, anti-codon, and T loops). Further hydrogen bonds mediate the characteristic L-shaped molecular structure. tRNAs have two regions of fundamental functional importance: the anti-codon, which is responsible for specific mRNA codon recognition, and the 3' end, to which the tRNAs corresponding amino acid is attached (by aminoacyl-tRNA synthetases). tRNAs cope with the degeneracy of the genetic code in two manners: having more than one tRNA (with a specific anti-codon) for a particular amino acid; and 'wobble' base-pairing, i.e. permitting non-standard base-pairing at the 3rd anti-codon position.
Source: RNAcentral
AAAAAGAUAAGCUAAUUAAGCUAAUGGGUUCAUACCCCUUUUAUAAAGGUACUAAUCCUUUUCUUUUUA